Molecule: long non-coding RNA, 634 nt
Filed under: Sus scrofa (pig)
Lineage: Eukaryota; Metazoa; Chordata; Mammalia; Artiodactyla; Suidae
Description: lncRNA (ENSSSCG00025031660.1)
Source: RNAcentral
GCUUCCCCGGGAAAGAAGGCCCCUCUCCUGGCUGGGAGAGAAAACCACUGGGCCUGCAGGAGCAACACCUCGUUCGCCAGUGGAGCUGUCACCCUAAGGUCAAGGUCAUGUGUCCCCCAUACCUGGUGGUCCUGGAGAUGGACAGCAGGCUCCGAUUCUGCUUCUGGAAAUACACUCGCAAUUAAACCGAGAAGUCGGAGAGCCGCCUGGAGAGCCAAGCGGCAGUUACACAACCCUCACCGGGCUCCCAGUGGCCCAGCGCAGCGGGAAGACGCACGUGCCUGCGGCCACUCCGGUCCUGCUGUGGCCUCCCGGGCAAGGAUGAGCGCAGGAGCAGUGGACAGAGUCCUUGUCACCACCGUGCUCACGCUCUGGCAGGGGAAGCGACGGGGCACGCCUCGGAUCAGGCACCACCAGGGUUGGAAGGAGUGUGGCUGAGCAUGCGGGGGUGGGGGCAGCUGGGGAGGGGACAUUGGAUAAGAUCUGACAGCACAAAGGAGGCAGCACGUGUACAUCUGGGCAGAGGGCAAAGCCAGUGUGAAGGCCCUGGGGCAGGAGACCGUUAGUGCCGGAGCAGAGAGGGCCAGUGAGCAAGGCCGCAGCGUCGGGCAGGUGCGGGGAGGUUGGGGGGGGG